This 140-nucleotide small nucleolar RNA is filed under the name Dasypus novemcinctus (nine-banded armadillo). Lineage: Eukaryota; Metazoa; Chordata; Mammalia; Cingulata; Dasypodidae. The record is from RNAcentral.
GACCUCCCAGGAUAGCAUCUGGAGAAUGGCUAGUAUUUUACCAGCUUCAGAGAAGGAAGGGAAAGCAAGCCCAGCAGAGAUGCCCAUUGCAUUCCCAAUUUACUUAGUCAGUGGUGAAUGGAAGAUAUUCUGCAACAGUG